GUGAAAUUUGUUUGUACUGUAACAGACUGAUUUUUAAAUCACAGACUCAUGUGGAAUGGUUGAUGCAGAGGGCACACCUGGAGAUCAGGUUGCUCAGGGCUGGGGCCAGUUGGGUUUUGGAUGUCCCUGAGGAUGGAGACCCCAAUAGUUUACCUGUUGACCUGUCCCUGGGCACCAGUGAGACGAGUGUGGCUGUAUCUCCUCCAUUCCCUGCCAUCAGGUACAUCACAGGCACUGUGACAGCAUGAGGCAGCAGAAGAUUCAAGUUGUAUCAAGAGAAUCAGCCUGGGAACCAGCUGGAUGGCAUGUUAUUUUCUUAGAAAUGGAGUUGGCCGAAGAUUCAAUAAAGACCUGGUGGAAUGCUUUAAUCAGGAGCUGAGAAUAAGGGAAAGAUGCCUCUUGUAACAGCAGCAAAUCUGGCCCAGAGCCUUUCUCAAGAGGAGCCUUGUUUUUGGCUUCAUCCUCCUCCACAUCAUGUGUCAGCUCUGGCACCAGCUCAGCGUGACAAGCAACUUCUAAAAUACAUAGCCAAGCUCACAGAUCCUCCCCUUGCAUGUGCUGGGAUAAACUUUAGAGAAAAUCUUUCCAGUGCCUCCCCUAGCAGAUGUUCCUCUUCACACCCUGUGCAUGCAGGACCCUCCUGAAGAUCAGCCUGGGGAAGCUCAGAAGUACAGAUUAAUGAUGUUCAAACUUUCCUCUGACCUUCUUAAAGGCACAUUUGAAAUUAUAUGUUUCUCAUUCCAGCUUUGGGUAGUGCUAUAUUUUCACAAGUACAAUAUUGAGAAAUAUAUUCUUUAAGUGUAAAAAAGAAUCUGUGGUUGCAGCACAGAGAAGAGUCAAGGCAAAACCUGG
Molecule: long non-coding RNA, 852 nt
Filed under: Cyanistes caeruleus (blue tit)
Lineage: Eukaryota; Metazoa; Chordata; Aves; Passeriformes; Paridae
Description: lncRNA (ENSCCEG00000019432.1)
Source: RNAcentral